ACACACACACACACACACGCACACACACACACACACACACACACACACACACACACACGCACACACACACACACACACACACACACACACACACACACACACACACAUACAUAUAGGUCACUGUGUGAAUUCAAACACAUGGACUGUGACACUGGCGUUCCUCAUUUCAGCUCUGUACAGGAUGUGUGGUGCUGUGAAAGAAACCAUAAACAGGACUCAUGAAGAAACAGAGCUUGACUCUGUUACUAUGUUAGUUGUAGCAGAAGCUCACUCCGUUAGGCUGCAUGAAGCUUCAUCUGCUCAUCGUACUGAUUUCAAUGGAAAAAUCUUGCUUUUGGGUUUGCAUUGCAAUUCGCAGGUCAACAUGUACAUCUAAGCUAGUGGAAGUGUUUGUCAGACAGGUCACAUGUGGCUCAGACUGCCUUCACUCUGCUCUCACUCCAACAGCCUGCCCACUGUAAGGAACAGGAGGAAUACUACUACUACUACUACUACUCGGUAGGGCUGUCGCAUUGAAGGAAUUCCCCCUGCAGUGACAAUGAUUGGCUCAACAGGGCGAUAUGCGGUGUUAUUGCAAUUUAUUUAUUUCGGUUAAAUGGUCCAACCAGGAGAUUAGAAACGGUUUAAAGUGUCUGCCACACAGUAUUUAUUAUUUUUGUAAUGUGACUGCCAUGGAAAUGAACUUUGAGAACUGUGGCUUACAUAUGUAAACAAAGCCCACACACUUACGAUUGUGUUUUUGCAGAAAUUAUCCGAAAAAAGUCUCCCAGUUAAUAACCUUCAGUAUGAGGAUGAUAUUCUCCAGCAGACUGAAGCGUGCUCAGAGCGGUGGGAAUGACUCCGGUGGCAGUUUGAGUUGAGAGCAGAGUGACGGGAUCCGUGCUUCUGGGGCACAGUGAUGAGUUUCAGUUUUGUCAGGGUAACCCUCGUUGGUUAGAUGGGUUUGACAGGUUACCAUGACGACUGGGUAGUGGGUUAUGGGUGUUAGUCUAGUUUGACCUACAUGAUAUAUAGCUAUAUUUUUUUAAGGAAGCAGGAUGGAUAUGAGCCUCGCUAUUAAACCCUUUCCUCCUCUUCUUCUUCUUGUUUUGCCGAGUCUGCCCUGACUUCUUCAGUUGGACGUCAGGUGCAGACGACAGUAGCUUGUUUGGAGGUUUGCAUACUGUAUCAUUGUUCUUGCAGCAUACUUCAUAUACUGUAUUACUUUCCUAUUUCAUAAUGGGUAUAAAAGCUCUAAAGUAAGUUUAAAGUGAAUUUAUAUCCUUGGGUUUAAAUCUUUGCUUAUAGUGUAAUUAUCUUAGUCAGAAUCCAGUUUCAGAUUUUGCUUUGUCAUUUUUGUUGCGUUGAUUUUUUCUGAUUUGUAUUUAUUGUUUGAUGAAUGAGUGUAGCCUUCUGUGGGAAUAAUCUUGAUGCUUUUGUUCCCAUUUUACUAGCUCUGGUAGUCAACUAAACUAUCAAUAAAGCUGGUCAUCUUCUGCCUCUCUAUAA
This is a long non-coding RNA of Sebastes umbrosus (honeycomb rockfish), 1488 nucleotides long. RefSeq lists it as uncharacterized. The transcript has 2 exons. The record is from RefSeq and is a predicted model, not a curated record. NCBI's taxonomy places the organism in Eukaryota, Metazoa, Chordata, Actinopteri, Perciformes, Sebastidae.